RNAcentral lists this ribosomal RNA (497 nucleotides) under uncultured bacterium. RNAcentral describes it as "partial 16S ribosomal RNA". It matches the Rfam family "Bacterial small subunit ribosomal RNA", at positions 28 to 507 of the family's 1533-position model. The record is from RNAcentral.
GAUGAACGCUGGCGGCGUGCCUAAUACAUGCAAGUCGAGCGAACAGACGAGGAGCUUGCUCCUCUGACGUUAUCGGCGGACGGGUGAGUAACACGUGGAUAACCUACCUAUAAGACUGGGAUAACUUCGGGAAACCGUAGCUAAUACCGGAUAAUAUAUUGAACCGCAUGGUUCAAUAGUGAAAGACGGUUUUGCUGUCACUUAUAGAUGGAUCCGCGCCGCAUUAGCUAGUUGGUAAGGUAACGGCUUACCAAGGCAACGAUGCGUAGCCGACCUGAGAGGGUGAUCGGCCACACGGGAACUGAGACACGGUCCAGACUCCUACGGGAGGCAGCAGUAGGGAAUCUUCCGCAAUGGGCGAAAGCCUGACGGAGCAACGCCGCGUGAGUGAUGAAGGUCUUCGGAUCGUAAAACUCUGUUAUUAGGGAAGAACAAAUGUGUAAGUAACUAUGCACGUCUUGACGGUACCUAAUCAGAAAGCCACGGCUAACUACGUG